RNAcentral lists this ribosomal RNA (561 nucleotides) under Clostridium perfringens. RNAcentral describes it as "partial 23S ribosomal RNA". It matches the Rfam family "Bacterial large subunit ribosomal RNA", at positions 634 to 1193 of the family's 2925-position model. The record is from RNAcentral. Lineage: Bacteria; Bacillati; Bacillota; Clostridia; Eubacteriales; Clostridiaceae.
UAUGUAGCAAGGUUAAGUACUUAAGGUACGGAGCCGAAGGGAAACCGAGUCUGAAUAGGGCGACUAGUUGCAUGCCGUAGACCCGAAACCGGGUGACCUAUCCAUGGCCAGGUUGAAGCGAGGGUAAAACCUCGUGGAGGACCGAACCACGUUGCUGUUGAAAAAGCAUGGGAUGAGCUGUGGAUAGCGGAGAAAUUCCAAUCGAACCCGGAGAUAGCUGGUUCUCUCCGAAAUAGCUUUAGGGCUAGCGUCGAGUAUGAGUAGUGGAGGUAGAGCACUGAAUGGGCUAGGGGGCAUAGCGCUUACCGAACCUUAUCAAACUCCGAAUGCCACAUACUUUGAGCUCGGCAGUCAGACUACGAAUGAUAAGAUCCGUGGUCAAAAGGGAAACAGCCCAGAUCGUCAGCUAAGGUCCCAAAGUGUAAGUUAAGUGGGAAAGGAUGUGAGAUUUCUAAGACAACUAGGAUGUUGGCUUAGAAGCAGCCAUUCAUUAAAAGAGUGCGUAAUAGCUCACUAGUCGAGAGAUCUUGCGCCGAAAAUGUAACGGGGCUAAACUUACCA